CAAUAGCGUAUAUUAAAGUUGUUGCGGUUAAAAAGCUCGUAGUUGGAUUUCUGCUGAGAACGGUCGGUCCACUCUUGGAGUGUGUAUCUGAUUCGGUCUUGGCAUCCUCUCGGAAACGGCUGCGCUUCAUUGCGUGGUCGGUGUCCGAGACUUUUACUUUGAGGAAAUUAGAGUGUUCACGGCAGGCUUCCGCCUUGAAUAUAUUAGCAUGGAAUAAUAAUAUAGGAUCUUGGUUCUAUUUUGUUGGUUUCUAGAGCUAAGAUAAUGAUUAAUAGGGACAAUUGGGGGCAUUCGUAUUAACGCGUCAGAGGUGGAAUUCUUGGAUUGCGUUACGACGAACUACUGCGAAAGCAUUUGCCAAGGAUGUUUUCAUUGA
Molecule: ribosomal RNA, 376 nt
Filed under: uncultured eukaryote
Lineage: Eukaryota
Description: partial 18S ribosomal RNA
Rfam family: Eukaryotic small subunit ribosomal RNA
Source: RNAcentral